AUUGAACGCUGGCGGCAGGCCUAACACAUGCAAGUCGAACGAGUGGCGGACGGGUGAGUAAUGUCUGGGAAACUGCCCGAUGGAGGGGGAUAACUACUGGAAACGGUAGCUAAUACCGCAUACCAUCCGAUUUGCCCAGAUGGGAUUAGCUUGUAGGGGGGUUAACGGCUCACCUAGGCGACGAUCCCUAGCUGGUCUGAGAGGAUGACAAGCCACACUGGAACUGAGACACGGUCCAGACUCCUACGGGAGGAGUAAGUGGGGAAUAUUGCACAAUGGGCGCAAGCCUGAUGCAGCCAGGCCGCGUGUAUGAAGAAUGCCUUCGGGUUGUAAAGUACUUUCAGCGGGGAGGCGUUACCCGCAGAAGAAGCACCGGCUAACUCCGUGCCAGCAGCCGCGGUAAUAC
RNAcentral lists this ribosomal RNA (406 nucleotides) under uncultured bacterium. RNAcentral describes it as "partial 16S ribosomal RNA". It matches the Rfam family "Bacterial small subunit ribosomal RNA", at positions 30 to 526 of the family's 1533-position model. The record is from RNAcentral.